RNAcentral lists this ribosomal RNA (497 nucleotides) under uncultured bacterium. RNAcentral's name for it is "partial 16S ribosomal RNA". It matches the Rfam family "Bacterial small subunit ribosomal RNA", at positions 28 to 507 of the family's 1533-position model. The record is from RNAcentral.
GACGAACGCUGGCGGCGUGCCUAAUACAUGCAAGUAGAACGCUGAAGCUUGGUGCUUGCACCGAGCGGAUGAGUUGCGAACGGGUGAGUAACGCGUAGGUAACCUGCCUGGUAGCGGGGGAUGACUAUUGGAAACGAUAGCUAAUACCGCAUAAGAGUAGAUGUUGCAUGACAUUUGCUUAAAAGGUGCAAUUGCAUCACUACCAGAUGGACCUGCGUUGUAUUAGCUAGUUGGUGAGGUAACGGCUCACCAAGGCAACGAUACAUAGCCGACCUGAGAGGGUGAUCGGCCACACUGGGACUGAGACACGGCCCAGACUCCUACGGGAGGCAGCAGUAGGGAAUCUUCGGCAAUGGACGGAAGUCUGACCGAGCAACGCCGCGUGAGUGAAGAAGGUUUUCGGAUCGUAAAGCUCUGUUGUAAGAGAAGAACGAGUGUGAGAGUGGAAAGUUCACACUGUGACGGUAUCUUACCAGAAAGGGACGGCUAACUACGUG